GGAAAAUGAUUACAAGGUGAAGUUUAUCGUGCCGUGGAUUGGUUCAGACACGUUUCUUGUGGAAUCCGUUAAAGACGAUCAGGUUGUAUCUUGUGUGAUACCCUCUGCAACAGGGGUCAGGUCGAUUAAAGAAACUGUUCGCUGUAAACAAGUUAUAUAAUGCGCAACAUUACCGUAAUCGCAUUGUAUUAGUGUAGCCUUAGUGAAUACUUUGUGUUAUAAAAAUUGUAUAUUUAGUUAAUAGUGUAAUCCAAUCGUAGUAUUGUAAUAAAAAUUAUAAUUUGAGAGCAAAAA
Molecule: long non-coding RNA, 294 nt
Organism: Adelges cooleyi (spruce gall adelgid)
Lineage: Eukaryota; Metazoa; Arthropoda; Insecta; Hemiptera; Adelgidae
Exons: 2
Source: RefSeq, a predicted model, not a curated record